RNAcentral lists this ribosomal RNA (691 nucleotides) under uncultured bacterium. Its description in RNAcentral is "bacterial SSU rRNA". It matches the Rfam family "Bacterial small subunit ribosomal RNA", at positions 8 to 719 of the family's 1533-position model. The record is from RNAcentral.
AGAGUUUGAUCAUGGCUCAGGACGAACGUUGGCGGCAGGCUUAACACAUGCAAGUCGAACGAGAAGGGUGUCUUCGGAUGCCUGGACAGUGGCGGACGGGUGAGUAACGCGUGGGUACUUGCCUCCCAGUACGGGACAACCUCGGGAAACUGGGGCUAAUACCGUAUAUACCGGCCUUGGUGGUUCUUGGUCGGGAAAGAUUUAUCGCUGGGAGAUAGACCCGCGUCCGAUUAGCUAGUUGGUGUGGUAAAGGCGCACCAAGGCUUCGAUCGGUAGCUGGUUUGAGAGGAUGAUCAGCCACACUGGGACUGAGACACGGCCCAGACUCCUACGGGAGGCAGCAGUGGGGAAUAUUGGACAAUGGGCGCAAGCCUGAUCCAGCCAUGCCGCGUGAGUGAAGAAGGCCCUAGGGUUGUAAAACUCUUUCACCGAUGAAGAUAAUGACGGUAGUCGGAGAAGAAGCCCCGGCUAACUCCGUGCCAGCAGCCGCGGUAAUACGGAGGGGGCUAACGUUGUUCGGAUUUACUGGGCGUAAAGCGCGCGUAGGCGGUUUGUUAAGUUGGGCGUGAAAGCCCGGGGCUCAACCCCGGAACUGCGUUCGAAACUGGCAAGCUAGAGUUCGGGAGAGGGUGGUGGAAUUUCCAGUGUAGAGGUGAAAUUCGUAGAUAUUGGAAAGAACACCGGUGGCGAA